AACCACUAUAGCUACAAGUAUAAUUAUACCAUUGAAUCAUGGAUAUGAUCACCACAACUGCACAAACUAAAGUCUGUGUUCUGUUUUCAGUUGUGCAACCAUAAUCCAUAGUUUCCCCUUGAUCCUAGUAAAAUAAGGCUACAGCUUUACAAGUUCUGUCACAGGAGAAGUGCUUUUAGUUCAAGUUAUUGUAGACCUGGUGUAUUGCAUCAAUCUGUUCUCACUUGA
RNAcentral lists this long non-coding RNA (228 nucleotides) under Hordeum vulgare. RNAcentral describes it as "long non-coding RNA (HVUL_LNC015737)". Lineage: Eukaryota; Viridiplantae; Streptophyta; Magnoliopsida; Poales; Poaceae. The record is from RNAcentral.